RNAcentral lists this ribosomal RNA (253 nucleotides) under uncultured bacterium. RNAcentral describes it as "partial 16S ribosomal RNA". It matches the Rfam family "Bacterial small subunit ribosomal RNA", at positions 524 to 776 of the family's 1533-position model. The record is from RNAcentral.
UACGUAGGGUGCGAGCGUUAAUCGGAAUUACUGGGCGUAAAGCGUGCGCAGGCGGUUCGUUGUGUCGGCGGUGAAAUCCCCGGGCUCAACCUGGGAAUGGCCGUUGAAACUGGCGAACUGGAGUGUGGCAGAGGGGGGUGGAAUUCCGCGUGUAGCAGUGAAAUGCGUAGAUAUGCGGAGGAACACCGAUGGCGAAGGCAAUCCCCUGGACCUGUACUGACGCUCAUGCACGAAAGCGUGGGGAGCAAACAGG